RNAcentral lists this ribosomal RNA (464 nucleotides) under uncultured bacterium. RNAcentral describes it as "partial 16S ribosomal RNA". It matches the Rfam family "Bacterial small subunit ribosomal RNA", at positions 339 to 795 of the family's 1533-position model. The record is from RNAcentral.
CUACGGGAGGCACCAGUGGGGAAUAUUGCACAAUGGGCGCAAGCCUGAUGCAGCCAUGCCGCGUGUAUGAAGAAGGCCUUCGGGUUGUAAAGUACUUUCAGCGGGGAGGAAGGGAGUAAAGUUAAUACCUUUGCUCAUUGACGUUACCCGCAGAAGAAGCACCGGCUAACUCCGUGCCAGCAGCCGCGGUAAUACGGAGGGUGCAAGCGUUAAUCGGAAUUACUGGGCGUAAAGCGCACGCAGGCGGUUUGUUAAGUCAGAUGUGAAAUCCCCGGGCUCAACCUGGGAACUGCAUCUGAUACUGGCAAGCUUGAGUCUGGUAGAGGAGGGUAGAAUUCCAGGUGUAGCGGUGAAAUGCGUAGAGAUCUGGAGGAAUACCGGUGGCGAAGGCGGCCCCCUGGACGAAGACUGACGCUCAGGUGCGAAAGCGUGGGGAGCAAACAGGAUUAGAUACCCCAGUAGUC